RNAcentral lists this ribosomal RNA (804 nucleotides) under uncultured bacterium. RNAcentral's name for it is "bacterial SSU rRNA". It matches the Rfam family "Bacterial small subunit ribosomal RNA", at positions 8 to 812 of the family's 1533-position model. The record is from RNAcentral.
AGAGUUUGCUUCUGGCUCAGGAUGAACGCUGGCGGCGUGCUUAACACAUGCAAGUCGAGCGAAGCGAUUUAAGUGAAGUUUUCGGAUGGAUCUUAAAUUGACUGAGCGGCGGACGGGUGAGUAACGCGUGGAUAACCUGCCUCACACAGGGGGAUAACAGUUAGAAAUGACUGCUAAUACCGCAUAAGCGCACGGUACCGCAUGGUACAGUGUGAAAAACUCCGGUGGUGUGAGAUGGAUCCGCGUCUGAUUAGGUAGUUGGUGAGGUAACGGCCCACCAAGCCGACGAUCAGUAGCCGACCUGAGAGGGUGACCGGCCACAUUGGGACUGAGACACGGCCCAAACUCCUACGGGAGGCAGCAGUGGGGAAUAUUGCACAAUGGGCGAAAGCCUGAUGCAGCAACGCCGCGUGAGUGAAGAAGUAUCUCGGUAUGUAAAGCUCUAUCAGCAGGGAAGAAAAUGACGGUACCUGACUAAGAAGCCCCGGCUAACUACGUGCCAGCAGCCGCGGUAAUACGUAGGGGGCAAGCGUUAUCCGGAUUUACUGGGUGUAAAGGGAGCGCAGACGGCACUGCAAGUCUGAAGUGAAAGCCCGGGGCUCAACCCCGGGACUGCUUUGGAAACUGUAGAGCUAGAGUGCUGGAGAGGCAAGCGGAAUUCCUAGUGUAGCGGUGAAAUGCGUAGAUAUUAGGAAGAACACCAGUGGCGAAGGCGGCUUGCUGGACAGUAACUGACGUUCAGGCUCGAAAGCGUGGGGAGCAAACAGGAUUAGAUACCCUGGUAGUCCACGCCGUAAACGAUGA